This 440-nucleotide ribosomal RNA is filed under the name uncultured bacterium. RNAcentral's name for it is "partial 16S ribosomal RNA". It matches the Rfam family "Bacterial small subunit ribosomal RNA", at positions 338 to 795 of the family's 1533-position model. The record is from RNAcentral.
CCUACGGGAGGCAGCAGUGGGGAAUAUUGCACAAUGGGGGAAACCCUGAUGCAGCGACGCCGCGUGAAGGAAGAAGUAUUUCGGUAUUUAAACUUCUAUCAGCAUGGAAGAAAAUUACUGUACCUGACUGAUAAUCCCCGUCUAACUACGUUCCAGCAGCCGCGGUAAUACGUAGGGGGCAAGCGUUAUCCGGAUUUUCUGGGUGUAAAGGGAGCGUAGGCGGUUUAGCAAGUCAGAAGUGAAAGCCCGGGGCUCAACUCCGGGAUUGCAUUUGAAACUGUCGAACUAGAGUGCAGGAGAGGUGAGUGGAAUUCGUAGUGUAGCGGUGAAAUGCGUAGAUAUUAGGAGGAACACCAGUGGCGAAGGCGGCUCACUGGACUGUAAAUGACGCUGAGGCUCGAAAGCGUGGGGAGCAAACAGGAUUAGAUACCCGUGUAGUC